GCCAGGCAUGGUGGCGCACGCCUGUAAUCCCAGCUCCUUGGGAGGCUGAGGCAGGAGAAUUGCUUGAACCCAGGAUGUGGAGGUUGCAGUGAGCCAAGAUCAUGCCACUGCACUCCAGCCUGGGCAACAGAGUGAGACUCUGUCUCAA
RNAcentral lists this non-coding RNA (148 nucleotides) under Nomascus leucogenys (northern white-cheeked gibbon). The record is from Rfam by way of RNAcentral. Lineage: Eukaryota; Metazoa; Chordata; Mammalia; Primates; Hylobatidae.